Molecule: ribosomal RNA, 253 nt
Filed under: uncultured bacterium
Lineage: Bacteria
Description: partial 16S ribosomal RNA
Rfam family: Bacterial small subunit ribosomal RNA
Source: RNAcentral
UACGAAGGGGGCUAGCGUUGUUCGGAUUUACUGGGCGUAAAGCGCAUGUAGGCGGGUCGUUAAGUUGGGGGUGAAAUCCCGAGGCUCAACCUCGGAACUGCCUUCAAAACUGGCGACCUGGAGCGUGAUAGAGGCGAGUGGAAUUCCGAGUGUAGAGGUGAAAUUCGUAGAUAUUCGGAGGAACACCAGUGGCGAAGGCGACUCGCUGGAUCAUUGCUGACGCUGAGAUGCGAAAGCGUGGGGAGCAAACAGG